UCAAGCUACAAAGAGCACAAGGGGAAUGCCUUGGCACCGAGAGCCGAAGAAGGACGUGACUAACUGCGAUAAGCUGCGGGGAGCCGUAAGUAGGCUUUGAUCCGCAGAUUUCCGAAUGGAGCAAUCCGGCAAGAGGAAAGUCUUGUCAUCAUAUACUGAAUACAUAGGUAUAUGAGGGGAACCGCCUGAACUGAAACAUCUAAGUAGGGCGAGGAAGAGAAAUCAACUGAGAUUCCGUAAGUAGUGGCGAGCGAACGCGGAAGAGGCCAAACCGAGAGUAGUAAUACUUUCGGGGUUCGGACAGAAUACGGCAUUGUAAAGGUUUAGUGGAAUGGAAUGGGAAGUCCAACCGAAGAAGGUGAGAGUCCUGUACACGAAAAGCCUGAACAGCCAUCUGUAUCCAGAGUACCGCCGGACACGUGAAACCCGGUGGGAAUACGGGGGGACCAUCCUCCAAGCCUAAAUACUACUCGGUGACCGAUAGUGAAGAAGUACUGUGAAGGAAAGGUGAAAAGUACCCCUGACGGGGAGUGAAAAAGAACCUGAAACCUUGUGUUUACAAGCACCGAAAGCUCAUCAAAGAGCGAUCGGGUACCUUUUGUAGAAUGGUCCGGCGAGUGAAUGUAACCGGCGAGGUUAAGCACUUAAGGUGUGAAGCCGCAGCGAGAGCAAGUCUGAAUAGGGCGUAUGAAGUCGGUUGUAUUCGACCCGAAACCGGGUGACCUACCCAUGGUCAGGUUGAAGUAAAGGUAAAACUUUAUGGAGGACCGAACCGACUCCCGUUGAAAUGGUAGCGGAUGAACUGUGGGUAGCGGAGAAAUUCCAAUCGAACCCGGAGAUAGCUGGUUCUCUCCGAAAUAGCUUUAGGGCUAGCCUUGAAAUAGAUUACCGGAGGUAAAGCACUGAAUUGGCUAGGGGCCGAGAGGUUACUGAACCUUAUCAAACUAAGAAUGCCGGAUAAUCGUUUUUCAGGAGUCAGACAGUGGGAGAUAAGUUUCAUUGUCAAAAGGGAAACAGCCCAGACCCACAGCUAAGGUCCCCAAGUAUAGUUAAGUGGAAAAGGAUGUGGAAUUGCACAGACAACCAGGAUGUUGGCUUAGAAGCAGCCACUCAUUAAAAGAGUGCGUAAUAGCUCACUGGUCGAGUGACUCUGCGCCGAAAAUUUAACGGGGCUAAACUAUACACCGAAGCUUGGGAUACAUCUAAUGUAUGGUAGGAGAGCGUUCUGUAUGGGGUGAAGUCGUAGCGAAAGCGGCGGUGGACUGUACAGAAGUGAGAAUGCCGGAAUAAGUAGCGAGAAUUAAGUGAGAAUCUUAAUGGCCGAAAGUCUAAGGUUUUUGGAGGAAGGUUCGUCCGCUCCAAGUAAGUCGGGAGCUAAGGUCAGGCCGAAAGGCGUAGCCGAUGCACAUACGGUUGAUAUUCCGUAACCAUCUGUAAUUUAAGCAAAGGGACACUUCAAAAGGGUGUGACCCGGGCGUUGGUUGACCCGGGCGUAAGGGACCGAAAUUAGAGUAGGGAAGCACACUUAGCUGAAGGCGAGAAAAGCUUUGCGUAUAGAAGCAGAUGCCCGUACCGCAAACCGACACAGGUGGACAGGAAGAGAAUUCUAAGGCCAGCGGGAGAAGGGUAGUUAAGGAACUCGGCAAAUUGACUCCGUAACUUCGGAAUAAGGAGUGCUCGAAAGAGCCGCAGAGAAUAGGCCCAGGCGACUGUUUAGCAAAAACACAGGUCUCUGCCAAAUCGAAAGAUGAAGUAUAGGGGCUGACACCUGCCCGGUGCCGGAAGGUUAAGAGGAGGAGUGAGAGCUCCGAAUUGAAGCCCCGGUAAACGGCGGCCGUAACUAUAACGGUCCUAAGGUAGCGAAAUUCCUUGUCGGGUAAGUUCCG
Molecule: ribosomal RNA, 1886 nt
Filed under: human gut metagenome
Description: bacterial LSU rRNA
Rfam family: Bacterial large subunit ribosomal RNA
Source: RNAcentral